AUGAACGAGUCAAGAGCAAUUUAAAGGGGGUACAGCCCCUUUAAAAAAGAACACAGCCUCCUAUAGCGGAUAACCCCCUCCCCACUACAAUACACCUCCCCCCGUGGGCCUUAAAGCAGCCAUCAAUAAAGAAUGCGUCAAACCUCAGCACAUAAAAAUCCGAAAAUCAACGUGACUCCCUCACCCCUAACAGGCCAACCUAUGUACAAUAGGAGCAUUAAUGCUAAAAUAAGUAACUAGGCUUACACCCCCUCUUAAGCGCAAACUUACAUCCUACAUUAUUAACAGAACCCCCAACCAAUACUACUAAACACCAACAAGACUCCGUAUUAAAAUACCCAAAUACUGUUAAUCCAACCCAGGAGCGCCUACUAGAAAGAUUAAAAUCUGUAAAAGGAACAUGGCAACCCCAGGGCCCGACUGUUUACCAAAAACAUAGCCUUCAGCCAAACAAGUAUUGAAGGUGAUGCCUGCCCAGUGACAUACGUUUAACGGCCGCGGUAUCCUAACCGUGCGAAGGUAGCGCAAUCAAUUGUCUCAUAAAUUGAGACCUGUAUGAAUGGCUAAACGAGGCCCUAACUGUCUCUUACAGAUAAUCAGUGAAAUUGAUCUUCCCGUGCAAAAGCAGGAAUGAACCCAUAAGACGAGAAGACCCUGUGGAACUUAAAAAUCAAUGACCACCCCACACAAACUAACCUACCAGGCUUAACUAUCCUACACACUGGCCCACAUUUUUUGGUUGGGGCGACCUUGGAGAAAAGCAAACCCUCCAAAAAUAAGACCACCCGUCUUGACCUAGAGCAACCCCUCAACGUGCUAACAGCAACCAGACCCAAUAUAAUUGACCAAUGGACCAAGCUACCCCAGGGAUAACAGCGCAAUCUCCUUCAAGAGCCCGUAUCGACAAGGAGGUUUACGACCUCGAUGUUGGAUCAGGACAUCCUAAUGGUGCAGCCGCUAUUAAGGGUUCGUUUGUUCAACGAUUAACAGUCCUACGUGAUCUGAGUUCAGACCGGAGCAAUCCAGGUCGGUUUCUAUCUAUGCUUAUACUUUCCCCAGUACGAAAGGACCGGUAAAGUGGGGCCAAUACCACAAGCACGCCCCCCUUCAAAGUAAUGAACCCAACUAAAUUACAAAAGAAGCACCACUUACUUUUAUCACCCCUAGAAAAGGACAGCUAGCGUGGCAAAGCUUGGUAAAUGCAA
RNAcentral lists this ribosomal RNA (1205 nucleotides) under Sula nebouxii. RNAcentral's name for it is "partial 16S ribosomal RNA". It matches the Rfam family "Bacterial large subunit ribosomal RNA", at positions 1291 to 2925 of the family's 2925-position model. The record is from RNAcentral. Lineage: Eukaryota; Metazoa; Chordata; Aves; Suliformes; Sulidae.